GCCCUCCUCCUCUGCGAAGAGACGCCUGGCGAGUAGCGCGUGCUCCUCUCGCUCUCUGCACGCGCUGGCUGGUUGGCGGCCGGCUGUCCGAGCGAAAUGAAGGCUCGACGGUACCUGCAAGUGACGCCGAAUAGGGCAUAGGUCCCGUAUUGAUUCUCAGCGAUGCUCGCACAAUAAUGAUUGUUCUUGAUAUCCGUGAGAUAACGCCAGGAAGUUGUCGUCUGCUCGGGAGGUGCAGACUUUCGCUGAACAUGCUUGGAGGACUCCCGUCAGCUGGGUGUGCACUAACCCCGAGCUUCAAAGACAAGAAGGCUGCUUCCGCUAAUGAACCGUUUUAACGCUAUUUCUAAUGACUUUAGUGAGAGACACUCACGUGCGGAACUUGUGCGAUGGACGCUGGGUCUCAUUCACCACGGGAUAGUUUAGACCUAUGUACUUAACACCUAGUUUGAUCGACACAUGACCUGUUGUGUACCAAGUGGUCUUUAAACAACCAUAUCGAACCGACGCGACUGGUAAACUUCCAAAAUGUGAUCAACGUCGAUUAAGGGGCGACCUUCAUGAUUGACUUAAAACGUCCACUUCGGAACCAGAAACCGGGGAUGGUGCCAUGCCGUCACCAAUACUGAUGAUAUGGGCUCUACUGUCAGUUUUAGUUGCGGGUACAUGUACUUUCAGUUUUCUUCAACCAUUCUGGUUCAUCCACUUGGACUACACCCACUCCUUCGGGCUCAUCAGCUACUGCUUCGGAAACACCCGGUUCGCUUACUCUAGGGAGACUUGCCUCGCCUAUGGGGGUAAUUUCAACCUGGGGAGCAUCCCCUCAGGGGCGUGGCAGGCCUCAUGUGUGUUGUACGGAGGGGGGUGCGGACUGCUGUGUCUUGGGGCAUUUAUUGCAAUAUGUGUGGCCAUCAUUCCAGCUGACUAUAGAAAGAAGCCGACCCGACUGGCAGGCUACACGCAAACGGUAGCAGUAUUAAUAAUGAUAGCUGGGCUCCUGAUCUACCCACUGGGACUGGGCUCCAAGUCCUUCCGCGAGUACUGCGGCAACAUGUCUUCCGCCUACUACUCAGGCCAGUGUCUGAUUGGCUGGAGCUACAUGCUGGGAAUCAUGGGAACUGCUCUCGCUAUAUUCUGUCCAUUCUUGUCACAAUUCACAGACAUGAAAGCAAGUGAAAUUUUCGCCUGAAAUCAAGGGAUACAAACAAUGUGUUCCUCCUGAUGAGUCAACUUAGAGCAGUCAGGGGAUGUGACAUAUUCCAAGCUGGGUCACAACAACGGUGAGAUCAGAAGCCACAUGAUAAAAAACUGCACUCACUCCAUGAUGGCUCGACCGUGAUUCCCAGCUUUGAAUAGAAUCAUUUCAUUAUUCAGUUCUAUUCCGGAUGUGUAGAACGUUAUAUCCUAAUGGGAUGGUGGUUUGGGAUCACAUGACCCUCAUUGUCUUCCAUUCGAUGAAUAUGCUUUUUAUCAAAGACUCAACGUUUUCAAUGUCUUCUCGUUGGACACCUAAUGCAAGCACGCUGUCCCGACAAGCAUUCGUCCCGACAAAGCGGGAUGUGAAUUUUAAACUCUCCUUAGAGGUGUAUGAAACCGAGGAACGCAAUAUUAAAGUGAAACCUUUGAUAAAGACGACAUCUGCAUCUUGAAUAUUGAUGCCAUCAGUUUUCAUGGCGGACAGAAGAGCUUUAUGUGGAAAGCUUCAAAGCAGGACGUCGUCCAAACUACAUCCACUGAUCAAUUUCCAUGGCAGACAGAUUCACGAAGCUGGCAUUGAAACGCUUGAAUAAUCAAUGACCUUGACACAUAGUUUAAAGAUGCAUGGCGUGUCGAAAUCUCAUCACAGGGUUUGUUGCUAGCAGUGUUGUGAG
RNAcentral lists this unclassified non-coding RNA (1871 nucleotides) under Haliotis rubra (blacklip abalone). RNAcentral's name for it is "transmembrane protein 211-like, transcript variant X2". The record is from RNAcentral. Lineage: Eukaryota; Metazoa; Mollusca; Gastropoda; Lepetellida; Haliotidae.